GAUGAACGCUGGCGGCGUGCCUAAUACAUGCAAGUCGAGCGAACGGACGAGAAGCUUGCUUCUCUGAUGUUAGCGGCGGACGGGUGAGUAACACGUGGAUAACCUACCUAUAAGACUGGGAUAACUUCGGGAAACCGGAGCUAAUACCGGAUAAUAUUUUGAACCGCAUGGUUCAAAAGUGAAAGACGGUCUUGCUGUCACUUAUAGAUGGAUCCGCGCUGCAUUAGCUAGUUGGUAAGGUAACGGCUUACCAAGGCAACGAUGCAUAGCCGACCUGAGAGGGUGAUCGGCACACUGGAACUGAGACACGGUCCAGACUCCUACGGGAGGCAGCAGUAGGGAAUCUUCCGCAAUGGGCGAAAGCCUGACGGAGCAACGCCGCGUGAGUGAUGAAGGUCUUCGGAUCGUAAAACUCUGUUAUUAGGGAAGAACAUAUGUGUAAGUAACUGUGCACAUCUUGACGGUACCUAAUCAGAAAGCCACGGCUAACUACGUGCCAGCAGCCGCGGUAAUACGUAGGUGGCAAGCGUUAUCCGGAAUUAUUGGGCGUAAAGCGCGCGUAGGCGGUUUUUUAAGUCUGAUGUGAAAGCCCACGGCUCAACCGUGGAGGGUCAUUGGAAACUGGAAAACUUGAGUGCAGAAGAGGAAAGUGGAAUUCCAUGUGUAGCGGUGAAAUGCGCAGAGAUAUGGAGGAACACCAGUGGCGAAGGCGACUUUCUGGUCUGUAACUGACGCUGAUGUGCGAAAGCGUGGGGAUCAAACAGGAUUAGAUACCCUGGUAGUCCACGCCGUAAACGAUGAGUGCUAAGUGUUAGGGGGUUUCCGCCCCUUAGUGCUGCAGCUAACGCAUUAAGCACUCCGCCUGGGGAGUACGACCGCAAGGUGA
Molecule: ribosomal RNA, 886 nt
Filed under: uncultured Staphylococcus sp.
Lineage: Bacteria; Bacillati; Bacillota; Bacilli; Caryophanales; Staphylococcaceae
Description: bacterial SSU rRNA
Rfam family: Bacterial small subunit ribosomal RNA
Source: RNAcentral